AGACCCGAAACCCGGUGAUCUAGCCAUGGGCAGGUUGAAGGUUGGGUAACACUAACUGGAGGACCGAACCGACUAAUGUUGAAAAAUUAGCGGAUGACCUGUGGCUGGGGGUGAAAGGCCAAUCAAACCGGGAGAUAGCUGGUUCUCCCCGAAAGCUAUUUAGGUAGCGCCUCGUGAAUUCAUCUCCGGGGGUAGAGCACUGUUUCGGCUAGGGGGCCAUCCCGGCUUACCAACCCGAUGCAAACUGCGAAUACCGGAGAAUGUUAUCACGGGAGACACACGGCGGGUGCUAACGUCCGUCGUGAAGAGGGAAACAACCCAGACCGCCAGCUAAGGUCCCAAAGUCAUGGUUAAGUGGGAAACGAUGUGGGAAGGCCCAGACAGCCAGGAUGUUGGCUUAGAAGCAGCCAUCAUUUAAAGAAAGCGUAAUAGCUCACUGGUCGAGUCGGCCUGCGCGGAAGAUGUAACGGGGCUAAACCAUGCACCGAAGCUGCGGCAGCGAACGUAUCACCCAAGACAACUUUACGGAGUUGACGAUUGACGGAGCGAAGCGACGUCAAAGCGUUCAUUAAAGUCGAGUUGGCUUAGGGAUACGUUCGUUGGGUAGGGGAGCGUUCUGUAAGCCUGUGAAGGUGUGUCGUGAGGCAUGCUGGAGGUAUCAGAAGUGCGAAUGCUGACAUAAGUAACGAUAAAGCGGGUGAAAAGCCCGCUCGCCGGAAGACCAAGGGUUCCUGUCCAACGUUAAUCGGGGCAGGGUGAGUCGACCCCUAAGGCGAGGCCGAAAGGCGUAGUCGAUGGGAAACGGGUUAAUAUUCCCGUACUUGGUGUUACUGCGAAGGGGGGACGGAGAAGGCUAUGUUGGCCGGGCGACGGUUGUCCCGGUUUAAGCGUGUAGGUGUGUGUUCCAGGUAAAUCCGGUUCACUUUAACACUGAGGCGUGAUGACGAGGCACUACGGUGCUGAAGCAACAAAUGCCCUGCUUCCAGGAAAAGCCUCUAAGCAUCAGGUAACAUCAAAUCGUACCCCAAACCGACACAGGUGGUCAGGUAGAGAAUACCAAGGCGCUUGAGAGAACUCGGGUGAAGGAACUAGGCAAAAUGGUGCCGUAACUUCGGGAGAAGGCACGCUGACACGUAGGUGAAGUGAUUUACUCAUGGAGCUGAAGUCAGUCGAAGAUACCAGCUGGCUGCAACUGUUUAUUAAAAACACAGCACUGUGCAAACACGAAAGUGGACGUAUACGGUGUGACGCCUGCCCGGUGCCGGAAGGUUAAUUGAUGGGGUCAGCGCAAGCGAAGCUCCUGAUCGAAGCCCCGGUAAACGGCGGCCGUAACUAUAACGGUCCUAAGGUAGCGAAAUUCCUUGUCGGGUAAGUUCCGACCUGCACGAAUGGCGUAAUGAUGGCCAGGCUGUCUCCACCCGAGACUCAGUGAAAUUGAACUCGCUGUGAAGAUGCAGUGUACCCGCGGCAAGACGGAAAGACCCCGUGAACCUUUACUAUAGCUUGACACUGAACAUUGAGCCUUGAUGUGUAGGAUAGGUGGGAGGCUUUGAAGUGUGGACGCCAGUCUGCAUGGAGCCGACCUUGAAAUACCACCCUUUAAUGUUU
RNAcentral lists this ribosomal RNA (1608 nucleotides) under Salmonella enterica subsp. enterica serovar Typhimurium. RNAcentral's name for it is "partial 23S ribosomal RNA". It matches the Rfam family "Bacterial large subunit ribosomal RNA", at positions 711 to 2215 of the family's 2925-position model. Lineage: Bacteria; Pseudomonadati; Pseudomonadota; Gammaproteobacteria; Enterobacterales; Enterobacteriaceae. The record is from RNAcentral.